CCUACGGGGGGCAGCAGUGGGGAAUAUUGCGCAAUGGGCGAAAGCCUGACGCAGCGACGCCGCGUGAGGGAUGAAGGUCUUCGGAUCGUAAACCUCUGUCAGCAGGGAAGAACGGUCACUGUGCUAAUACGCCGUGAAUUGACGGUACCUGCAAAGGAAGCACCGGCUAACUCCGUGCCAGCAGCCGCGGUAAUACGGAGGGUGCGAGCGUUAAUCGGAAUUACUGGGCGUAAAGCGCACGGAGGCGGUAUGUCAAGUCAAGGGUGAAAUCCCCGGGCUCAACGUGGGAACUGCCUGUGAAACUGGCAAACUGGAGUGUGGGAGAGGAGAGUAGAAUUCCAGGUGUAGCAGUGAAAUCCGUAGAUAUCUGGAGGAACAUCAGUGGCGAAGGCGACUAUCUGGCACAUAACUGACGCUGAGGUGCGAAAGCGUGGGUAGCAAACAGGAUUAGAUACCCCAGUAGUC
This 465-nucleotide ribosomal RNA is filed under the name uncultured bacterium. RNAcentral describes it as "partial 16S ribosomal RNA". It matches the Rfam family "Bacterial small subunit ribosomal RNA", at positions 338 to 795 of the family's 1533-position model. The record is from RNAcentral.